GGAAUUCGAUUAACGCGAAGAACCUUACCCAGGCUUGAACUGCAGAUGACAUCCUACGAAAGUAGGCUUCCGCAAGGACGUCUGUAGAGGUGCUGCAUGGCUGUCGUCAGCUCGUGUCGUGAGAUGUUGGGUUAAGUCCCGCAACGAGCGCAACCCUUGUCUUCUGUUGCCAUCGGGUCAAGCCGGGCACUCUGAAGAGACUGCCGGUGACAAACCGGAGGAAGGUGGGGAUGACGUCAAGUCAGCAUGGCCUUUAUGUCUGGGGCCACACACGUGCUACAAUGGCCGGUACAAACCGUCGCAAACUCGCAAGGGUGAGCUAAUCGGAGAAAGCCGGUCUCAGUUCGGAUUGCAGGCUGCAACUCGCCUGCAUGAAGUUGGAAUCGCUAGUAAUCGCGGAUCAGCACGCCGCGGUGAAUACGUUCCCGGGCCUUGUCACACCGAAUCACUA
Molecule: ribosomal RNA, 451 nt
Filed under: uncultured soil bacterium
Lineage: Bacteria
Description: bacterial SSU rRNA
Rfam family: Bacterial small subunit ribosomal RNA
Source: RNAcentral